GAUGAAGAACGCAGCGAAAUGCGAUAAGUAAUGUGAAUUGCAGAAUUCAGUGAAUCAUCGAAUCUUUGAACGCACAUUGCGCCCGCCAGUAUUCUGGCGGGCAUGCCUGUUCGAGCGUCAUUACAACCCUCAGGCCCCCGGGCCUGGCGUUGGGGAUCGGCGGAGCCCCCCGUGGGCACACGCCGUCCCCCAAAUACAGUGGCGGUCCCGCCGCAGCUUCCAUCGCGUAGUAGCUAACACCUCGCGACUGGAGAGCGGCGCGGCCACGCCGUAAAACACCCAACUCUUCUGAAGUUGACCUCGAAUCAGGUAGGAAUACCCGCUGAACUUAAGCAUAUCAAUAAGCGGAGA
RNAcentral lists this unclassified non-coding RNA (351 nucleotides) under soil metagenome. RNAcentral describes it as "partial contains 5.8S ribosomal RNA, internal transcribed spacer 2, and large subunit ribosomal RNA". The stretch from base 1 to 120 matches the Rfam family "5.8S ribosomal RNA", at positions 35 to 154 of the family's 154-position model. The record is from RNAcentral.